GGGCCUUUAGCUCAGUUGGUCAGAGCCUCCGGCUCAUAACCGGGUGGUCGCAGGUUCGAGUCCUGCAAGGCCCACCA
Molecule: transfer RNA, 77 nt
Filed under: Oscillospiraceae bacterium
Lineage: Bacteria; Bacillati; Bacillota; Clostridia; Eubacteriales; Oscillospiraceae
Description: tRNA-Ile
Rfam family: tRNA
About the family: Transfer RNA (tRNA) molecules are approximately 80 nucleotides in length.
Source: RNAcentral